This 358-nucleotide ribosomal RNA is filed under the name uncultured bacterium. RNAcentral's name for it is "bacterial SSU rRNA". It matches the Rfam family "Bacterial small subunit ribosomal RNA", at positions 29 to 414 of the family's 1533-position model. The record is from RNAcentral.
AACGAACGCUGGCGGCAGGCUUAACACAUGCAAGUCGAACGGGCACCUUCGGGUGUCAGUGGCAGACGGGUGAGUAACGCGUGGGAACGUACCCUUCGGUUCGGAAUAACCCAGGGAAACGUUGGGCUAACACCGGAUACGUCCGCAAGGAGAAAGAUUUAUCGCCGAAGGAUCGGCCCGCGUCGGAUUAGCUAGUUGGUGGGAAUGGCCCAUCAAGGCGACGAUCCGUAGCUGGUCUGAGAGGAUGAUCAGCCACACUGGGACUGAGACACGGCCCAGACUCUACGGGAGGCAGCAGUGGGGAAUAUUGGACAAUGGGCGAAAGCCUGAUCCAGCCAUGCCGCGUGAGUGAAGAAGG